Molecule: ribosomal RNA, 980 nt
Filed under: Escherichia coli
Lineage: Bacteria; Pseudomonadati; Pseudomonadota; Gammaproteobacteria; Enterobacterales; Enterobacteriaceae
Description: partial 23S ribosomal RNA
Rfam family: Bacterial large subunit ribosomal RNA
Source: RNAcentral
GAAAUCAACCGAGAUUCCCCCAGUAGCGGCGAGCGAACGGGGAGGAGCCCAGAGCCUGAAUCAGUGUGUGUGUUAGUGGAAGCGUCUGGAAAGGCGCGCGAUACAGGGUGACAGCCCCGUACACAAAAAUGCACAUGCUGUGAGCUCGAUGAGUAGGGCGGGACACGUGGUAUCCUGUCUGAAUAUGGGGGGACCAUCCUCCAAGGCUAAAUACUCCUGACUGACCGAUAGUGAACCAGUACCGUGAGGGAAAGGCGAAAAGAACCCCGGCGAGGGGAGUGAAAAAGAACCUGAAACCGUGUACGUACAAGCAGUGGGAGCACAGAGCAAUCUGUGUGACUGCGUACCUUUUGUAUAAUGGGUCAGCGACUUAUAUUCUGUAGCAAGGUUAACCGAAUAGGGGAGCCGAAGGGAAACCGAGUCUUAACCGGGCGUUAAGUUGCAGGGUAUAGACCCGAAACCCGGUGAUCUAGCCAUGGGCAGGUUGAAGGUUGGGUAACACUAACUGGAGGACCGAACCGACUAAUGUUGAAAAAUUAGCGGAUGACUUGUGGCUGGGGGUGAAAGGCCAAUCAAACCGGGAGAUAGCUGGUUCUCCCCGAAAGCUAUUUAGGUAGCGCCUCGUGAAUUCAUCUCCGGGGGUAGAGCACUGUUUCGGCAAGGGGGUCAUCCCGACUUACCAACCCGAUGCAAACUGCGAAUACCGGAGAAUGUUAUCACGGGAGACACACGGCGGGUGCUAACGUCCGUCGUGAAGAGGGAAACAACCCAGACCGCCAGCUAAGGUCCCAAAGUCAUGGUUAAGUGGGAAACGAUGUGGGAAGGCCCAGACAGCCAGGAUGUUGGCUUAGAAGCAGCCAUCAUUUAAAGAAAGCGUAAUAGCUCACUGGUCGAGUCGGCCUGCGCGGAAGAUGUAACGGGGCUAAACCAUGCACCGAAGCUGCGGCAGCGACACUGUGUGUUGUUGGGUAGGGGAGCGU